Exophiala viscosa is the source of this 135-nucleotide non-coding RNA. The record is from the annotation of a RefSeq genome assembly. Lineage: Eukaryota; Fungi; Ascomycota; Eurotiomycetes; Chaetothyriales; Herpotrichiellaceae.
UCCCCCGUGGCGCAAUUGGCUAGCGCGUCUGACUGUUAUUCUCUACCAUAUAUCAGGGUAAGUCUUACAAUCUAUCAAAAAGUCCAUUUCCUAACAUAUUUUCAGAGGUUGGUGGUUCGAGCCCACCCGGAGGAG